Molecule: ribosomal RNA, 357 nt
Filed under: Triticum aestivum (bread wheat)
Lineage: Eukaryota; Viridiplantae; Streptophyta; Magnoliopsida; Poales; Poaceae
Description: partial small subunit ribosomal RNA
Source: RNAcentral
AUGAACUUUUAUUUUACUAACAUUUUCCCGAUACAUUUCCAUUGCAAGUGUGUGCUUCCUUGUUUCUAUUUGUUUUGUUUUGUUUAUAGACAUUUUUCUGCACCUGACUUUAGCCAUGAUCAUCCCAUUGCAAUGAAAAUUGUUGUUCAUACCAAGAGAUUUUUUUUCCAAUGGCAUACCAAGUGGUUUGUUCCAAUUCUUCAUGGUGAUUGUUGCGCUUCCAGACGUGUUUUUUCACCAGUAAUAUGUUCAAUCACACGAGAAUUUGAUGCUUCUAAGGGACUUUCGGUUGUGGUCAUACUACAGAAAAGUGUUUACUAUCAUGCGAGCAUUUCGUUUCAGAAAAAUGUUUAUUAG